This 212-nucleotide unclassified non-coding RNA is filed under the name Hevea brasiliensis (rubber tree). The record is from RNAcentral. Lineage: Eukaryota; Viridiplantae; Streptophyta; Magnoliopsida; Malpighiales; Euphorbiaceae.
CUCCACACAAAAACUCUCAAAUGAUUGUAAUUUGUGAAUAAACUACACACCACCCAAAUAGAAAUGAGGGGUAAAUUUCACUCAUUGUCCAACUUAGAGCGUCGUAAUAGCACCGUCCCCAACCUUUAAUUUGUACCAUAUUCAAUUUGGUGCACAUAAAAAUCCUUUUUACCUAUUAUCUAACACAGGGCUUGGAGUUCCAAACAGCAAAG